CAUCUGCAGCCCACCGGGUGACAGCCGCCCGCCCUGGUCUUCAUCCCUGGCCCCCACGCAAGGUCUAAGAGCGGCCACACCAGGUUCAGCGCCAGCUGGGACCGUGGCCACGGUGGCACCGGACGCCGCGGCAGGGGGGAGGCCCGGGCUCGGCCUCCCUGGCGCCCCGACCCUUCUCCCUGCUCCGUGCCCUGACCCUCCCCGGGCCAGCUGAGUCUGCCAAACUCAUGACGCCAAUGCCCGGCGCUGCCACGCAGCACCCCAUGGAAACGGCUUCUGCUGCCGCUGAGGCCCCGCGGAGGGGGACCCGGGCCGCGAGCCCGCUGCGCGGCGUCUCUGCCCCCCGGGCCCGGGCGCCCCCAGGCCCAGGCCUGCCUGUGGCCGCGGCGCGACGCCUGGCACGACGCCGUGGCGCGGGCGGCUCCGUCUCGUGUCAUUCGUGGCCUCGCAGCUCCCCCUGCCGGCACCUGGCUGGCUGAGCCGGGCCUCCCCCAAAGGGGUCUAGGCCCCCCCCAAAAUGGGGCCGGCUCCGGUGCCUGCUCACCAGGCUGCCCGCCCCCAACCCUACCCAGUUCCUGCGCCAGCCUCGGGGCGGGCAGCAAUGCACCAGGGAGCUUGUCCCGGGACUCCCCCAAGGCUGGGAUGCAGCCCCCCCCCCAUCGCAAUGCACCCCCCACCCGUUGCAAUGCACCUCCCCAUUGCAAUGCACCCCCCCGUUGUAAUGCGACCCCAGUGCAGGUACCCCACGUGGCAAAGCACCCCACUGCAAUCCACUCCCUGUUGCAAUGCACCCCCAUCCACUGCAGUGCACCCCCCUCAUCACAGUGCCCCCACCCCACUGCAGUGCACCCUUCUCAUUGCACUGCCCCCCUUGCAAUGCACCCCCCCAACUGCAAUGCCCCACAGGUGCAAUGCCCCCCAAUGAACCCCCAAUUGCAAUAACCCCCAAUUGCAAUGCUCCCUCAGUUGCAAUCCACCCCCAUUUGCAACGCACCCCCAGUUGCAGUGCUCCCACAGUUGCAAUGUGCCCCCCCAAUUGCAAUGCGCCCCCCCAAGUGCAAUACCCCUCCCAACUUCAAUGCCCCCAAUUGCAGUGUACCCCCAAUUGCAACAUCCCUCAAUUGCGAUGCCCUCUGUUGCAAUGCCCUCUCAGUUGCAAUGCCUCCCCAAUUGUAGUGCCCCCCCCCCACUGGAAUCCCUCCCCAAUUGGAAUGCCUCUCCAGUUGCAAUGCAUCCCCAGUUGCAGUGCCCCUUUCCGCCUGCCCCAGGCGGCGGGGGAAGCCCAGCGCACUACCGGGCCCUGAGGGGCUGCGGGACCCGCGGGGUGCUCGGCGCUGCACACGGGCAGCCCGGCGUGCAGCACGGCCGGGGAGCGCGGAGGUCCCCGGGGUGCCCGAGAGGGGCGCUAGGGCCGCGCGGACACCCGCGGCCGGUCGGGCCGGCCAGUGCGCAGGCGCCGGCGCUGCCCGCCCUCCCGAGGCUACUUC
This 1487-nucleotide long non-coding RNA is filed under the name Apteryx haastii (Great spotted kiwi). RNAcentral describes it as "lncRNA (ENSAHAG00000001405.1)". The record is from RNAcentral. Lineage: Eukaryota; Metazoa; Chordata; Aves; Apterygiformes; Apterygidae.